AGUGCUCUCAGGACACCGAGUCGUCCCCUUUUAUGGAUGAGAGGAUUGAAACUUGGAACUGUUUAAAAGAUAGGGUAGACUCUGUCAACAGCAUUGGGUGGUGUUGCAUGGCUGAAAUCUCAGCCACUUAGGAGGUAACUGUGGGAAAAUCAGUCUGGAUAAUUUAGAGAGACCUUGUCCCAGAAAAGACGGAGUGUUUCAGUGACAGAAUCCACUCAGGAGAGUUGGGGCAAGGCUGGCCAAGGUCAUCAAGGAGCUGAGUUCUGAGUUCAGGUGCCCACAUGGCAGUGGAAUGAUCCCUUCUGUCCCUUCAGACCUUUGAGACGUCUGGGAGGUCCUAGAAAUCACCUCAAGUCUCCAGUCCAGGACACAACUGCCUAGGGGAAUCCCAGGGACAGGCGGCAGAGAUUGCAUGGCCUGCAAGGUGAUGGACUCCAAUGUGAUCACUGCAGAAUUCGCCAAAUUCCAAACCACUGGCAGUUGGAACGCACAAGCCCCCUAUUGACGAGGAGGCGAGGGAAGCAAGCUGGGAGGAGGCCCGUUACUUGGCUAGAGAGAGAUGGACCACCUUCUCAGGUCUUCUGGAAGUUGCUGAAACAUGGUGAGGAAGGAAUGUCAUCACUCAUAGGAUGGAAUCAAGAAACUUAGAAUGGAACUAAGCCUGAAGUACUUCAAGCCCUGGGACCCCCCUUUAGGGUCGUACUGUUCUCUCUCUCUUUCUCUCUCUCUCUCUCUCUCUCUCUCUCUCUCUCUCUCUCUCCUGUAUUUCUCUUUUCUUAGUGCAGGGAAUUGUACACAGGAACUGAUUUAACAGGUAUAAUUUUGGUCCCAAAUUAGCCAUGUUACUAGAAACUUAGGACAGUUCUGCCAGAGUCACUGCAUGUCACCUGCGGAAUCCAGGGAAUGCUCAUGGAACUCUUAAGUCCUGUUAAUAAAAAAUAAUAUAAGAACUGA
Alexandromys fortis (reed vole) is the source of this 954-nucleotide long non-coding RNA. RefSeq lists it as uncharacterized. Lineage: Eukaryota; Metazoa; Chordata; Mammalia; Rodentia; Cricetidae. The transcript has 4 exons. The record is from RefSeq and is a predicted model, not a curated record.